CUGGCUCAGGAUGAACGCUGCGGCGUGCUUAACACAUGCAAGUCGAACGGAGUUUUAACGGAAGUUUCGGAUGGAAGUUAGAACUUAGUGGCGGACGGGUGAGUAACGCGUGGGUAACCUGCCUCAGUACAGGGGGAUAACAGUUAGAAAUGACUGCUAACACCGCAUAAUAUAGCGAAACCGCAUGAUUUUGCUAUCAAAAUAUUUAUAGGUAUGAGAUGGGCCCGCGUCUGAUUAGCUAGUUGGUGGGGUAAAGGCCUACCAAGGCGACGAUCAGUAGCCGGCUUGAGAGAGUGACCGGCCACAUUGGGACUGAGACACGGCCCAAACUCCUACGGGAGGCAGCAGUGGGGAAUAUUGGACAAUGGGGGAAACCCUGAUCCAGCGAACGCCGCGUGAGUGAAGAAGUAUUUCGGUAUGUAAAGCUCUAUCAGCAGGGAAGAUAAUGACAGUACCUGACUAAGAAGCCCCGGCUAACUACGUGCCAGCAGCCGC
RNAcentral lists this ribosomal RNA (495 nucleotides) under uncultured bacterium. Its description in RNAcentral is "bacterial SSU rRNA". It matches the Rfam family "Bacterial small subunit ribosomal RNA", at positions 19 to 518 of the family's 1533-position model. The record is from RNAcentral.